AUUGAACGCUGGCGGCAUGCCUUACACAUGCAAGUCGAACGGUAACAGGUUAAGCUGCCGAGUGGCGAACGGGUGAGUAAUGUAUCGGAACGUGCCCAGUCGUGGGGGAUAACUGCUCGAAAGGGCAGCUAAUACCGCAUACGACCUGAGGGUGAAAGCGGGGGAUCGCAAGACCUCGCGCGAUUGGAGCGGCCGAUAUCAGAUUAGGUAGUUGGUGAGGUAAAGGCUCACCAAGCCGACGAUCUGUAGCUGGUCUGAGAGGACGACCAGCCACACUGGGACUGAGACACGGCCCAGACUCCUACGGGAGGCAGCAGUGGGGAAUUUUGGACAAUGGGCGCAAGCCUGAUCCAGCCAUGCCGCGUGCGGGAAGAAGGCCUUCGGGUUGUAAACCGCUUUUGUCAGGGAAGAAAAGGUUCUGGCUAAUACCUGGGACUCAUGACGGUACCUGAAGAAUAAGCACCGGCUAACUACGUG
RNAcentral lists this ribosomal RNA (477 nucleotides) under uncultured bacterium. RNAcentral's name for it is "partial 16S ribosomal RNA". It matches the Rfam family "Bacterial small subunit ribosomal RNA", at positions 30 to 507 of the family's 1533-position model. The record is from RNAcentral.